Molecule: long non-coding RNA, 4142 nt
Filed under: Prunus persica (peach)
Lineage: Eukaryota; Viridiplantae; Streptophyta; Magnoliopsida; Rosales; Rosaceae
Description: long non-coding RNA (PPER_LNC008557)
Source: RNAcentral
GUGUAUUGCAUAAUUUUUGUAGAGAUUGGAUUUCAUGAAAAGACACCAAAUGACUCCUCCCAUCAUAUUAUGAUGUUCCCCAAGUUUUGGACUCAACCCGAUAUCGAUUGAUCCAUGAAAUUAGAGAAUUCCGGUUCGUACGAAGUUCGUUACGAAAUAGUGUGGUUCGUGUAUUGCAUAGUUGUAGAGAUUGGAUUUCCCUGAAAACCCAUAAAAUGACACCUCCCACCGUAUUAUGAUGUUCCCCAAGUGUUGGACUCAAUCCGAUAUCGAUUGGUGUAUCGCAUAGUUUUAGCUAUUGGAUUUCAGUCAAACGACACCAAAUGACUCCUUCCAUCAUAUUAUGUUGUUCCCCAGGUUUUGGACUCAAUCCGAUAUCGAUUGGUCCAUGAAAUUGGACAAUUCAAGUUCGUACGAAGUUCGUUAUGAAAUGGAGUGGUUUGUGUAUUUCAUAGUUGUAGAGAUUGGAUUUCACUCAAAACCCAUCAAAUGACUCCUCCCAACGUAUUAUGAUGUUCCCCAAGUUUUGGACUCAAUCAGAUAUCGAUUGGUCCAUGAAAUUGGACAAUUCAGGUUCGUACGAAGUUCGUUCUGAAAUGGAGUGGUUAGUGUAUUGCGUAGUUUUAGCCAUUGGAUUACACUCAAAAGUCAUCAAAUGACUCCUCCCAUCAGAUUAUGUUCUUCCCCAAGUUUUGGACUCAAUCCGAUAUCGAUUGGUCCAUGAAAUUGGACAAGUCAGGUUCGUACGAAGCUCGUUAUGAAAUGGAGUGGUUGGUGUAUUGCAUAGUUUUAGCCAUUGGAUUUCACUCAAAAGGCACCAAAUGACUGCUCCCAUCAUAUUACGAUGUUCCCCAAGUUUCGGACUCAAUCCGAUAUCGAUUGGUCCAUGAAAUUGGACAAUUCAGGUUCUUACGAAGUUCGUUCUGAAAUGUUGUGUUCAGUGUAUUGCAUAGUUUUAGCCAUUGAAAUGCACUCAAAAAUCACCAAAUGACUCCUCCCAUCAUAUUAUGAUGUUCCCUAAGUUUUGGACUCAAUCAGAUAUCGAUUGGUCCAUGAAAUUGGACAAUUCAGGAUCGUACGAAGUUCGUUAUGAAAUGGGGUGGUUACUGUAUUGCAUAGUUUAAGCCAUUGGAUUUCACUCAAAUGUCACCAAAUGACUCCAACCAUCAUAUUAUGAUGUUCCCCAAGUUUUGGCCUUAAUCCGAUAUCGAUUGGUCCAUGAAAUUCGACAAUUCAGGUUCGUACGAAGUUCAUUAUGGAAUGGAGUGGUUGGCGUAUUGCAUAGUUGUAGAGAUUGGAUUUCACUCAAAAUCCACCAAAAGACUCCGUCCACCGUAUUACGAUGUUCCCCAAGUUUUGGGCUCAAUCCGAUAUCGAUUGGUCCAUGAAAUUAGACAAUUCAGGUUCAUAUGAAGUUCGUUCUAAAAUGGAUUGGUUAGUGUAUUGCGUUGUGUUAGCAAUUAGAUUUCACUCAAAAGUCACCAAAUGACUCCUCCCACCAUAUUAUGAUGUUUCAAAAGUUUUGGACUCAAUCCGAUAUCGAUUGGUCCAUGAAAUUGGACAAUUCAGGUUCGUACGAAGUUCGUUGUGAAAUGGAGUGGUUAGUGUAUUGCAUAGUUGUAGAGAUUGGAUUUCACUCAAAAGCCACCAAAUGACUCCAUCCACCGUAUUACGAUGUUCCCCAAGUUUUGGGCUCAAUCCGAUAUCGAUUGGUCCAUGAAAUUAGACAAUUCAGUUCAUACGAAGUUCGUUCUAAAAUGGAUUGGUUAAUGUGUUGCAUUGUGUUAGCAAUUAGAUUUCACUCAAAAGUCACCAAAUGACUCCUCCCACCAUAUUAUGAUGUUUCAAAAGUUUUGGACUCAAUCCGAUAUCGAUUGGUCCAUGAAAUUGGACAAUUCAGGUUCGUACGAAGUUCGUUGUGAAAAUGGAGUGGUUAGUGUAUUGCAUAGUUGUAGAGAUUGGAUUUCACUCAAAAGCCACCAAAUGACUCCAUCCACCGUAUUACGAUGUUCCCCAAGUUUUGGGCUCAAUCCGAUAUCGAUUGGUCCAUGAAAUUAGACAAUUCAGGUUCAUACGAAGUUCGUUCUAAAAUGGAUUGGUUAAUGUAUUGCAUUGUGUUAGCAAUUAGAUUUCACUCAAAAGUCACCAAAUGACUCCUCCCACCAUAUUAUGAUGUUUCAAAAGUUUUGGACUCAAUCCGAUAUCGAUUGGUCCAUGAAAUUGGACAAUUCAGGUUCGUACGAAGUUCGUUAAGAAAUGGAGUGGUUAGGGUAUUGCAUAGUUGUAGGGAUUGGAUUUCACUCAAAGGCCACGAAAUGACUCCUCCCACCGUAAUAUGAUGUUCCCCAAGUAUUGGCCUGAAUCCGAUAUCGAUUGGUCCAUGAAAUUGGACAAUUCAGGUUCGUACGAAGUUCGUUCUGAAAUGGAGUGCUUAGUGUAUUGCAUAGUGUUAACCAUUGGACUUCACUCAAAGGCCACGAAAUGACUCCUCCCACCGUAUUAUGAUGUUUCCCAACUAUUGGCCUGAAUCCGAUAUCGAUUGGUCCAUGAAAUUGGACAAUUCAGGUUCGUAUGAAGUUCGUUCUGAAAUGGAGUGCUUGGUGUAUUGCACAGUUGUAGAGAUUCGAUUUCAUUCAAAACCCGUCAAAUGACUCCUCCCACCGUAUUAUGAUGUUCCCCAAGUUUUGGACUCAAUCCGAUUUCGAUCGGUCCAUGAAAUUGGACAAUUCAGGUUCGUACGAAUUCGUUCCGAAAUGAAGUGGGUAGUGUAUUGCAUAGUUUUAGCCAUUGGAUUUCAGUCAAAAGACACCAAAUGACUCCUCCCAUCAUAUGAUGAUGUUCCCCAAGUUUUGGACUCAAUCCGAUAUCGAUUGGUCCAUUAAAUUGGACAAUUCAGGUUCAUACGAAGUUCGUUCUGAAAUGGAUUGGUUAGUGUAUUGCAUAGUUUUAGCCAUUGGAUUUCAGUCAAAAGACACGAAAUGACUCCUCCCACCGUAUUAUGAUGUUCCCCAAGUUUUGGACUCAAUCCGAUGUCGAUUGGUCCAUGAAAUUGGACAAUUCAAGUUCUUACGAAGUUCGUUCUGAAAGGGAGUGGUUGGUGUAUUGCAUAGUUUUAGCCAUUGGACUUCACUCAAAAGGCACCAAAUGACUCCUCCCAUCAUAUUAUGAUGUUCCCCAAGUUUCGGACUCAAUCCAUUGGUCCAUGAAAUUGGACAAUUCAAGUUUGUACGAAGUUCGUUCUGAAAUGGAGUGGUUAGUGUAUUGCAUAGUUUUAGCCAUUGGAUUUCACUCAAAAGGCACCAAAUGACUCAUCCCAUCAUAUUAUGAUGUUCCCCAAGUUUCGGACUCAAUCCGAUAUCGAUUGGUCCAUGAAAUUGGACAAUUCAGGUUUGUACGAAGUUCGUUCUGAAAUGGAGUGGUUAGUGUAUUGCAUAGUUUUAGCCAUUGGAUUUCACUCAAAAGUCACCAAAUGACUCCUCCCUUGAUAUGAUGAUGUUCCCCAAGUUUUGGACUCAAUCCGAUAUCGAUUGGUCCACGAAAUUGGACAAUUCAGGUUUGAACGAAGUUCGUUCUGAAAUGGAGUGGUUCGUGUAUUGCAUAGUUUUAGCCAUUGGAUUUCAGUCAAAAGACACCAAAUGACUCCUCCCUCCGUAUUAUGAUGUUCCCCAAGUUUUGGACUCAAUCCGAUAUCGAUUGGUCCAUGAAAUUGGACAAUUCAAGUUCUUACGAAGUUCGUUCUGAAAGGGAGUGGUUGGUGUAUUGCACAGAUUUUGCCAUUGGAUUUCAUGAAAAGACACCGAAUCACUCUUCCCAUCAUAUUAUGAUGUUCCCCAAGUUUUGGACUCAACCCGAUAUUGAUUGAUCCAUGAAAUUAGAGAAUUACGGUUCGUACGAAGUUCGUUACGAAAUAGUGUGCUGGUGUAUUGCAUAGUUGUAGAGAUUGGAUUUCACUGAAAACCCAUAAAAUGACACCUCCCACCGUAUUAUGAUGUUCCCCAUGUUUUGGACUCAAUCCGAUAUCGAUUGGUCCAUGAAAUUGGACAAUUCAGGUUCGUAUGAAGUUCGUUAUGAAAUAGAGUGGUCGUUGUAUUGGAUAGUUGUAGAGAUUGGAUUUCACUCAAAACCCACCAAAUGACUCCUCC